AGAGUUUGAUCCUGGCUCAGAUUGAACGCUGGCGGCAUGCCUUACACAUGCAAGUCGAACGGCAGCACGGAGCUUGCUCUGGUGGCGAGUGGCGAACGGGUGAGUAAUAUAUCGGAACGUACCCUGGAGUGGGGGAUAACGUAGCGAAAGUUACGCUAAUACCGCAUACGAUCUCAGGAUGAAAGCAGGGGACCGCAAGGCCUUGUGCUCCUGGAGCGGCCGAUAUCUGAUUAGCUAGUUGGUGGGGUAAAAGCCCACCAAGGCAUCGAUCAGUAGCUGGUCUGAGAGGACGACCAGCCACACUGGAACUGAGACACGGUCCAGACUCCUACGGGAGGCAGCAGUGGGGAAUUUUGGACAAUGGGGGCAACCCUGAUCCAGCAAUGCCGCGUGAGUGAAGAAGGCCUUCGGGUUGUAAAGCUCUUUUGUCAGGGAAGAAAAGGCUGUGGCUAAUAUCUACGGCUCAUGACGGUACCUGAAGAAUAAGCACCGGCUAACUACGUGCCAGCAGCCGCGGUAAUACGUAGGGUGCAAGCGUUAAUCGGAAUUACUGGGCGUAAAGCGUGCGCAGGCGGUUUUGUAAGUCUGUUGUGAAAUCCCCGGGCUCAACCUGGGAAUGGCAAUGGAGACUGCAAGGCUAGAGUUUGGCAGAGGGGGGUAGAAUUCCACGUGUAGCAGUGAAAUGCGUAGAUAUGUGGAGGAACACCGAUGGCGAAGGCAGCCCCCUGGGUCAAAACUGACGCUCAUGCACGAAAGCGUGGGGAGCAAACAGGAUUAGAUACCCUGGUAGUCCACGCCCUAAACGAUGUCUACUAGUUGUCGGGUCUUAAUUGACUUGGUAACGCAGCUAACGCGUGAAGUAGACCGCCUGGGGAGUACGGUCGCAAGAUUAAAACUCAAAGGAAUUGACGGGGACCCGCACAAGCGGUGGAUGAUGUGGAUUAAUUCGAUGCAGCGCGAAAAACCUUACCUACCCUUGACAUGUACGGAACGCCGAAGAGAUUUGGUGGUGCUCGAAAGAGAGCCGUAACACAGGUGCUGCAUGGCUGUCGUCAGCUCGUGUCGUGAGAUGUUGGGUUAAGUCCCGCAACGAGCGCAACCCUUGUCAUUAGUUGCUACGAAAGAGCACUCUAAUGAGACUGCCGGUGACAAACCGGAGGAAGGUGGGGAUGACGUCAAGUCCUCAUGGCCCUUAUGGGUAGGGCUUCACACGUCAUACAAUGGUACAUACAGAGGGCCGCCAACCCGCGAGGGGGAGCUAAUCCCAGGAAGUGUAUCGUAGUCCGGAUUGUAGUCUGCAACUCGACUGCAUGAAGUUGGAAUCGCUAGUAAUCGCGGAUCAGCAUGUCGCGGUGAAUACGUUCCCGGGUCUUGUACACACCGCCCGUCACACCAUGGGAGCGGGUUUUACCAGAAGUAGGUAGCUUAACCGUAAGGAGGGCGCUUACCACGGUAGGAUUCGUGACUGGGGUGAAGUCGUAACAAGGUAACCA
RNAcentral lists this ribosomal RNA (1493 nucleotides) under uncultured Oxalobacteraceae bacterium. RNAcentral describes it as "bacterial SSU rRNA". It matches the Rfam family "Bacterial small subunit ribosomal RNA". The record is from RNAcentral. Lineage: Bacteria; Pseudomonadati; Pseudomonadota; Betaproteobacteria; Burkholderiales; Oxalobacteraceae.